This 503-nucleotide ribosomal RNA is filed under the name uncultured bacterium. RNAcentral's name for it is "partial 16S ribosomal RNA". It matches the Rfam family "Bacterial small subunit ribosomal RNA", at positions 30 to 523 of the family's 1533-position model. The record is from RNAcentral.
AUUGAACGCUGGCGGCAGGCUUAACACAUGCAAGUCGAGCGGGGUGAUGGUGCUUGCACUAUCACUUAGCGGCGGACGGGUGAGUAAUGCUUAGGAAUCUGCCUAUUAGUGGGGGACAACAUCUCGAAAGGGAUGCUAAUACCGCAUACGUCCUACGGGAGAAAGCAGGGGAUCACUUGUGACCUUGCGCUAAUAAAUGAGCCUAAGUCGGAUUAGCUAGUUGGUGGGGUAAAGGCCUACCAAGGCGACGAUCUGUAGCGGGUCUGAGAGGAUGAUCCGCCAAACUGGGGCUGAGACACGGCCCAGACUCCUACGGGAGGCAGCAGUGGGGAAUAUUGGACAAUGGGGGGAACCCUGAUCCAGCCAUGCCGCGUGUGUGAAGAAGGCCUUAUGGUUGUAAAGCACUUUAAGCGAGGAGGAGGCUCUUUUGGUUAAUACCCAAGAUGAGUGGACGUUACUCGCAGAAUAAGCACCGGCUAACUCUGUGCCAGCAGCCGCCGUAA